Dipodomys ordii (Ord's kangaroo rat) is the source of this 106-nucleotide small nuclear RNA. The record is from Ensembl. NCBI's taxonomy places the organism in Eukaryota, Metazoa, Chordata, Mammalia, Rodentia, Heteromyidae.
ACGCUGUGUUUGCUUCUGCAGUGUAUUUACAUUAACUAUACAGAGAAGAUUAGCAGGGCAUCAUUGCAAGGAUGUUUUGAAAAUGCACAAAGGGUUCCAUAUUUUU